This 433-nucleotide ribosomal RNA is filed under the name uncultured bacterium. Its description in RNAcentral is "partial 16S ribosomal RNA". It matches the Rfam family "Bacterial small subunit ribosomal RNA", at positions 29 to 507 of the family's 1533-position model. The record is from RNAcentral.
AACGAACGCUGGCGGCAUGCCUAACACAUGCAAGUCGAACGAGACCUUCGGGUCUAGUGGCGCACGGUUGCGUAACGCGUGGGAACCUGCCCUUAGGUUCGGAAUAACUCUCCGAAUGGGGUGCUAAUACCGGAUAAUAUCUUCUGACCAAAGAUUUAUUGCCUUUGGCUGUGCCCGCGUUGGAUUAGCUAGUUGUUAGGGUAAUAGCCUACCAAGGCGACGAUGCAUAGCUUGUUUGAGAGGAUGAUCAGCCACACUGGGACGGAGACGCGGCCCAGAAUCCUACGGGAGGCAGCAGUGGGGAAUAUUGCACAAUGGGCGAAAGCCUGAUCCAGCAAUGACGCGUGAGUGAUGAAGGCCUUAGGGUUGUAAAGCUCUUUUACCCGGGAUGAUAAUGACAGUACCGGGAGAAUAAGCUCCGGCUAACUACGUG